CCAGGAUCUGCUCUUUGGUGUGGGUCUCCGGCCUCAGCCACUGACGGCAAAGUUCCCGCAAGAGGGUUCAGUAGGAAUGC
This is a non-coding RNA of Ceratotherium simum simum (southern white rhinoceros), 80 nucleotides long. NCBI's taxonomy places the organism in Eukaryota, Metazoa, Chordata, Mammalia, Perissodactyla, Rhinocerotidae. The record is from RefSeq and is a predicted model, not a curated record.